Molecule: non-coding RNA, 1487 nt
Organism: Benincasa hispida (wax gourd)
Lineage: Eukaryota; Viridiplantae; Streptophyta; Magnoliopsida; Cucurbitales; Cucurbitaceae
Source: RefSeq, a predicted model, not a curated record
AUCUUAUAUAUAUUAGGGUUAAAGGAAAAAAAUUAUGCCGCUCUUUCUCAUCUCCCCAUCAGUUUGAGCGCUUCGAUCACCCACGCCACACGCCACUGUCGGAGCACGCAUGAGGUCACGUUCGUUUGCCUAUUAGUUCGGCCACUCCGAUUAGCCGUGCCACUAGAUUUCAUAAGUUGUAGAGCAUCGACGCCGCCAUGGGUUUAGACGAUCUGCGUUCGUUUGUCAGAUCUGCCAUGGGUUUAGAUCUAUUCGUUCCCGUGCGUUUCGUCACUCCAGCUCCUAAACAUGUUGAUUUCCGGUGACUUUCUUAGGUAUUAAUGACCUAAAAUUUAGGUCAUCGAGUUGUAUAUUGUAUUUAAUCACACCUUUUAUCUUUCUCCAAUCAACAAGGGGAAGACCUCAAACAUUGAUUCUACAAAUGGAGAGCUCAACGAUGAAAAAAUGCCAUUAACAAUAGCUCCGUUUGUGGUUACGAUUCUCUUCAUCAACUCUGUAGGGUGGAAAUGCAAUCAAAGUCCUACAUUUGUUAAAUAAGGAAUGAUCAUGGGUUUAUAAGGGAGCACAACUAUCUCCAAACUAUCUCCAAUGGUACGAGGUCUAUUGAAAUGGUUCCAAAAGCAAAGUCAUAAAAAUUUAUACUCUUAAGGUAGACAAUAUCAUACCAUUAUGGAGAUAUCUAGAGUUCCUUCGUCUCUAACAAACUCCUUGCUGCAAAUCUCAAACCUCAAAUAUUUUAGAUCAUUUUUUUUCUCUUCUUUUUUAAUGGAAUUUUUCUCUGUAGGAAUAUGAGUGAAGCGAUUACCGAAAAAUGGUUAAUGUUCUACUUGUGGAUUUCGAUUAUUUUUUCUCAUUUCUGAGUUCUAUAUGAUCUGUACUGUUUGGCGGUGAAUUAUGUGAAUUUGGAAAUCUUUUCCUACUUUAUCUAAGAGAUGCCUUGAGUUUUCUUAUUUAUUAGGUUUGAUCAGCUGCUUAAACGUUUCGAUUCCAAACUUUAGGCAUACGAAUCACAUGUUUAUUGUAAAUGACAAUGCUAAUUUCACAAACGUAAGAAACCAUGCUCAAUAUAUGUGAAUGUUGUGUGUGAGUUAGAGAUAAUGCCAAGUAUUUAUUCUCUUUUUUUCAUUAAUGAAGAUUUCCCCUUUUGAAAAAGAAAAAAAAGGUUGAAAUAUGCCAAAAUUGGAAGCACUGUCUGUUCUUGAUGCACAUUACACAGCUACUGAUCUGGCUUGGAUGAGAGAAAAAGUUGUAUGGGUUCUGCUGGAGACUUUCGACCAGAACAGAAGGUGGAAUUUUCAGGACGAUAUUGCAGUUGAGUCCUCAACCUGUAUUUCUAGAGUUCAUCCCUUUAACUUGCAUUGUAUUUAGCAACUAAGUUUUGACUAGAAUAUUUUAGGGAUUUGCCACUGGGUAAAAGGUAUUCAUGUGUGAUCAAUUACAAUAGAAUGUGAAAAAUAUAGAAAAUGAAGACUUUAAAAGAGCUACAA